This 247-nucleotide ribosomal RNA is filed under the name uncultured bacterium. Its description in RNAcentral is "partial 16S ribosomal RNA". It matches the Rfam family "Bacterial small subunit ribosomal RNA", at positions 523 to 769 of the family's 1533-position model. The record is from RNAcentral.
AUACGUAGGGAGCGAGCGUUGUCCGGAAUUACUGGGUGUAAAGGGAGCGUAGGCGGGAUUGCAAGUCAGAUGUGAAAACUAUGGGCUUAACCCAUAGACUGCAUUUGAAACUGUAGUUCUUGAGUGAAGUAGAGGUAAGCGGAAUUCCUGGUGUAGCGGUGAAAUGCGUAGAUAUCAGGAGGAACAUCGGUGGCGAAGGCGGCUUACUGGGCUUUUACUGACGCUGAGGCUCGAAAGCGUGGGGAGC